Molecule: ribosomal RNA, 856 nt
Filed under: uncultured bacterium
Lineage: Bacteria
Description: SSU rRNA
Rfam family: Bacterial small subunit ribosomal RNA
Source: RNAcentral
UACGAAGGGACCUAGCGUAGUUCGGAAUUACUGGGCUUAAAGAGUUCGUAGGUGGUUGAAAAAGUUGGUGGUGAAAUCCCAGAGCUUAACUCUGGAACUGCCAUCAAAACUUUUCAGCUAGAGUAUGAUAGAGGAAAGCAGAAUUUCUAGUGUAGAGGUGAAAUUCGUAGAUAUUAGAAAGAAUACCAAUUGCGAAGGCAGCUUUCUGGAUCAUUACUGACACUGAGGAACGAAAGCAUGGGUAGCGAAGAGGAUUAGAUACCCUCGUAGUCCAUGCCGUAAACGAUGUGUGUUAGACGUUGGAAAUUUAUUUUCAGUGUCGCAGCGAAAGCGAUAAACACACCGCCUGGGGAGUACGACCGCAAGGUUAAAACUCAAAUGAAUUGACGGGGACCCGCACAAGUAGUGGAGCAUGUGGUUUAAUUCGAAGAUACGCGCAGAACCUUACCAACACUUGACAUGUUCGUCGCGACUCUAAGAGAUUAGAGUUUUCGGUUCGGCCGGACGAAACACAGGUGCUGCAUGGCUGUCGUCAGCUCGUGUCGUGAGAUGUUGGGUUAAGUCCCGCAACGAGCGCAACCCUCACUUUUAGUUGCCAUCAUUAAGUUGGGCACUCUGAAAGAACUGCCAGUGAUAAGCUGGAGGAAGGUGGGGAUGACGUCAAGUCCUCAUGGCCCUUACGUGUUGGGCUACACACGUGCUACAAUGGUAUCUACAACAGGAAGCAAGACUGCGAAGUUAAGCAAAUCCCUAAAAGAUACCUCAGUUCGGACUGCACUCUGCAACUCGAGUGCAUGAAGCUGGAAUUACUAGUAAUCGUGGAUCAGCGUGCCACGGUGAAUGCGUUCCCGGGUCU